AUUGAACGCUGGCGGCAGGCCUAUCACAUGCAAGUCGAGCGGAGCGGCGGACGGGUGAGUAUUGCCUAGGAAUCUGCCUGGUAGUGGGGGAUAACGUCCGGAAACGGGCGCUAAUACCGCAUACUAUCAGAUGAGCCUAGGUCGGAUUAGCUAGUUGGUGGGGUAAAGGCCUACCAAGGCGACGAUCCGUAACUGGUCUGAGAGGAUGAUCAGUCACACUGGAACUGAGACACGGUCCAGACUCCUACGGGAGGCAGCAGUGGGGAAUAUUGGACGAUGGGCGAAGGCCUGAUCCAGCCAUGCCGCGUGAAUGAAGAAGGCCGUCGGGUUGUAAAGUUCUUUCGGUAGCGAGGCGUUGACUACAGAAGAGGCACCGGCUAACUCCGUGCCAGCAGCCGCGGUAAUUC
Molecule: ribosomal RNA, 407 nt
Filed under: uncultured bacterium
Lineage: Bacteria
Description: partial 16S ribosomal RNA
Rfam family: Bacterial small subunit ribosomal RNA
Source: RNAcentral